Molecule: small nuclear RNA, 104 nt
Filed under: Mandrillus leucophaeus (drill)
Lineage: Eukaryota; Metazoa; Chordata; Mammalia; Primates; Cercopithecidae
Source: RNAcentral
GUGCUCGCUUCAGCGCGUAUAAACUAAAAAUGGAACGGUACAGAGAUUAGCACGGCCCCUGCGCAAGGAUGACAUGCAAAUUCGUGAAGCAGUUGCAUAUUUUU